Molecule: long non-coding RNA, 1500 nt
Organism: Papaver somniferum (opium poppy)
Lineage: Eukaryota; Viridiplantae; Streptophyta; Magnoliopsida; Ranunculales; Papaveraceae
Exons: 8
Source: RefSeq, a predicted model, not a curated record
UUGUUUAUUGAAUUUUUCCUUACUAUCUUUCCACAGACGAAAUGAAACCCUUGAUUCAUCUUUCCUUUGCAAAAAUGAAGCGGUAGCAAAAUCUUUCAAAACUCAUCAAUCUAAAAUUCACAUGAAACUCCUAAACCACAUCGUUCCUUUUUUUUCUUUCUGAGGUGUGGGGAUCGACUAUUUUUUUUUGGCUCUCAAACUGGUCGACAUCCAUUGCAAAUUAUGGUAUUGAAUGUCAACAUAAGCAUCUUUUAGGUCAAUUUCCAGUAAUCUGGUAUAGACGACUGCAAAAAAAUAUUGUCUGGGGACGUCUCCCUAACAUCAAAGAUAUCCAUGAGCUCAAGUAUACGGACACACCAAAUGCUAAAGGUCUUAUAGUUGAGUUGAACAUCGCAUUUUGAUAUGAUUUGGUAGAACAAUUCUGUGGCAUUAUUCCUAGGCAUCUUUCAGUAACAUAAAAGGAAAGGAAGAAAGAGAACGGCUAUAUCGUUUUUUUUUGCCGUGGUGGUGUGAAGGUUGCCAAGCCAUUUGAGAACCUUAACGAUCGGCAAGAGGAGUCUCUAAUUCAGAUAACAGAACUUCUAAUGCACGCUCCUACUGCAUCUGCACGACCUCCAUUUAGUAUAACUGGAAAAGUUUGACGGAAGUCUCCCCCCAUAACAACGUUCUACCCCCUACCAAAAGUAGUGAAGCAAUACCUAAUGAUACAACGAUUAGAAGUCGAGAAAUUUUAAUUCCCCGAUGCAAGGUGCAGUCAUACUGGAUAUAGAUCCUUGGUAUAUUAAUUAGGGAAUCAUGGUAUUUGAGAUGGAGGCAGUGAACUAUUAGGUUGUCAGGUACCUUGUGCUCCAAUUCUCUGGUUCUACGUUUUAUCUGGGACAAUACAAUCGCAUCCUUUCCUGUCAGUUCGCCAGUACAUGAGAUAUCUUUACCUUUUUGAUAAUACGGUAGUAUGGAUGAUAAUAUGAUAAUACUGUCAAUUUAUCUGAGGUUAAUAAAGUAUUACUCUAGCCCUUUCAAUAGCGAAUUGAUUAUGCUCCACAUGAAUGUUAGAUUCUUCGGUUAACUGUCAAUUUCAAAAUAUACGGAACCAAUUCAUAACUACAAUUUUCAUAUCAUAUUAGUAUUAUAUUAAAAUUAAUUUCUGCUAACCUACUUGAAGAUCUUGUAAUUCUUCUAUUUCUCUUUGCAGGCGAUCUUGUAGUUCUUUUGUUUCUCUUUCCUGACGUUCCUUUUCUUCUCUCUCUCUUUGUCUACGUGCUCUCUGUGCCAAGGAUGCCGCCUGUUUAAGAGAUUUCCAAAACAGAAUCACACAUCAAUAAAUUCUGGAUUUUCAUAACAUGGGUUAUUGCAAUCAUGUGAUUAUUUUUUUGUUUUGUUUUGUUUUGUUUUUUUACUAUUGAUUUCUCAAUCAUGUGAUUAUUUUUUGGUUUUGUUUUUUUACCAUUGAUUUCUCUUUCUUUGGACGUUCUCUAUUAUGAGAAUGAAGUUCCAUCGUCA